GAUGAACGCUGGCGGCGUGCUUAACACAUGCAAGUCGAGCGAAGCACCUUGACGGAUUUCUUCGGAUUGAAGCCUUGGUGACUGAGCGGCGGACGGGUGAGUAACGCGUGGGUAACCUGCCUCAUACAGGGGGAUAACCGGUGGAAAUGGCUGCUAAUACCGAAUAAGCGCACAGUACCGCACGGUACGGUUGGAAAAACUCCGGUGGUAUGAGAUGGACCCGCGUCUGAUUAGGUAGUUGUGGGGGUAACGGCAUACCAAGCCGACGAUCAGUAGCCGACCUGAGAGGGUGACCGGCCACAUUGGGACUGAGACACGGCCCAAACUCCUACGGGAGGCAGCAGUGGGGAAUAUUGCACAAUGGGGGAAACCCUGAUGCAGCGACGCCGCGUGAGCGAUGAAGUAUUUCGGUAUGUAAAGCUCUAUCAGCAGGGAAGAAAAUGACGGUACCUGACUAAGAAGCCCCGGCUAACUACGUGCCAGCCGCCGCGGUAA
RNAcentral lists this ribosomal RNA (495 nucleotides) under uncultured bacterium. RNAcentral describes it as "partial 16S ribosomal RNA". It matches the Rfam family "Bacterial small subunit ribosomal RNA", at positions 28 to 523 of the family's 1533-position model. The record is from RNAcentral.